CCUACGGGUGGCUGCAGUGGGGAAUAUUGCACAAUGGGCGCAAGCCUGAUGCAGCCAUGCCGCGUGUGUGAAGAAGGCCUUCGGGUUGUAAAGCACUUUCAGCGGGGAGGAAGGCGUUAAGGUUAAUAACCUUGGCGAUUGACGUUACCCGCAGAAGAAGCACCGGCUAACUCCGUGCCAGCAGCCGCGGUAAUACGGAGGGUGCAAGCGUUAAUCGGAAUUACUGGGCGUAAAGCGCACGCAGGCGGUCUGUCAAGUCGGAUGUGAAAUCCCCGGGCUCAACCUGGGAACUGCAUUCGAAACUGGCAGGCUAGAGUCUUGUAGAGGGGGGUAGAAUUCCAGGUGUAGCGGUGAAAUGCGUAGAGAUCUGGAGGAAUACCGGUGGCGAAGGCGGCCCCCUGGACAAAGACUGACGCUCAGGUGCGGAAGCGUGGGGAGCAAACAGGAUUAGAUACCCUUGUAGUC
RNAcentral lists this ribosomal RNA (465 nucleotides) under uncultured Klebsiella sp. RNAcentral's name for it is "bacterial SSU rRNA". It matches the Rfam family "Bacterial small subunit ribosomal RNA", at positions 338 to 795 of the family's 1533-position model. Lineage: Bacteria; Pseudomonadati; Pseudomonadota; Gammaproteobacteria; Enterobacterales; Enterobacteriaceae. The record is from RNAcentral.